CUUAGUUGGUUGGGUGCUAGUGAACUAUAUGUUCAAAAGAUAAAUGGAUGAGUAUAUAUGGGUGGGUGGCAAGUAUACUUCAAUGAGGAUGUUGAUUUUCUGGAUCAUGGUGAUGAUGAUGGAUGAUUUCAGUUUUAUUUAAGUAGUAGGGAUGUCGUUCCCGUUGGAUGUUGUUUGUCGGUCUAGUUUUGGUUAAGUUGUAGGGAUGUUGAUGGAUGCUUUCAGUUUAAGUUUCACUCGCAAGAAAAUAGUUAGAUUAUGCAUCACAUUUGGAUGAUGUUCCUCAUGUAAUUUCCAAUAUUGUAAUCUAACAUUUUUAUGUAAUAUAUGAUUUCUUUCUCUCG
Long non-coding RNA from Hordeum vulgare subsp. vulgare (domesticated barley), 344 nucleotides. RefSeq lists it as uncharacterized. The transcript is spliced from 2 exons. The record is from RefSeq and is a predicted model, not a curated record. Lineage: Eukaryota; Viridiplantae; Streptophyta; Magnoliopsida; Poales; Poaceae.